CGCUGUUAUCCCUAAGGUAAUUUAGUCUUUUAAUCACUAAAAAUGGAUCAAAAAUAUAUAAAUAAAUAUAAAAAAAUAAAAAGAGUUAUUUUAAUCUUCCUAUCACCCCAACAAAAUUUACACAACAUUAAAUUUUGACCCACAAAAAAUAUUUAAAUAAAUUAAACUCUAUAGGGUCUUCUCGUCCCAAAAAAAUAUUUAGGCAUUUUAACCCAAAAUUUAAAUUCAACAUAAUAAAAAUCAAAGACAGUAAUUACCUCGUCAAACCAUUCAUUCCAGCCUACAAUUAAAAGACUAAUGAUUAUGCUACCUUUGCACGGUCAAAAUACCGCGGCCCUUCAAAUAAUCAGCGGGCAGGUCAUACAUCAUAAUAACAACAAAAAGAGAUGUUUUUGUUAAACAGGCG
This 406-nucleotide ribosomal RNA is filed under the name Cryptocercus clevelandi. RNAcentral's name for it is "partial 16S ribosomal RNA". The record is from RNAcentral. Lineage: Eukaryota; Metazoa; Arthropoda; Insecta; Blattodea; Cryptocercidae.